AUAAAUUUAUGUUCCGCAUUGGAAGUACUAUGCUCAGAUGAACCUGCUGCUAAAUAGAUGCAUUCGUAUAAUCUUCAUACUUCUGCCGAUUAUAAGUGAGUUCUACUUUCCUUCUUCUUGAUGCUUUCAAAUGAAAUGGAAUAUUGCAGUGAUGUGCUUGCUUUCAUUUGUAUAAUAUAGGUUUUGCCCAAAAAGCAAUAGUAGAGUUAUUGUCUACAUAAAUACGGUAGGUUUCGAUCUGUUGUGACAUGUAUGUAGCAUCUCCAACAAUUUCUGAACUCAAAUUGCACUAUGAAUGAGGCUAAUGUGACAUUAUUAUCUUCGAAAGUAGAAACAGUUGCAGAGGUUUCUUUUUUGAACACAAAGUAAAUGUCGCGUCUUCCUUAAGAAAUACAAAACCAGUAGUACUCAUUUGAUUCACCCCAUUCAGUGUUGCCAUUUGCCAACAAGUUCGAAAUUUUCAGAUGGAGAAAAUCAAUAGUCUAUAAUUAAAUUAAUCACCUUUGACAUAUAUAUCGAUGAGUUGAGUACUUUCUUCCAUCAAUCAUCCAAGUUCUUAUGUACUCUUAAGUAAGUGUAAUCCUGCAAAAGACUUAAAAGACCUAUAUAAUGGCUUUGAACAAUCAAACUAGUACACUACGAUACAUAAAGUCCAACUCUCCCUAAAGAUAUGGCGGAGGGAAAGUGGUAAAAAAGAGAAGGUUAGAAGGAAGAACACAUAUGUAGAGUUGAUAUUUCCUCUUGUUGCUUGAUUUGCUCCAAUGAACCGAGAAUGUAAAGUACUAAUUAAAUUUAUCAACUUCAUUUGUUAAACUUCCGUCUUAGCUUGGGACUCCAUCAAAAGACGAAAUCUUGCAAAGUCGUCAUAACUCAUUGUGGCCAUAGAAAAUAUAUGACUUACUUGAUCAAAGUCUUGAUAUAAAUGAGUUUGAAUUCUAUCUUCUUGAUGCAUCUUCGAAUGAAAUAGGACCUUGGCUCGAUUUGGUUACUUCAUUCAUGGAAUAAUAGCUUUCCUCCCGAAGAAAUAACAUAGUUCUCAUUUCUCGUGUCUAAGGAUGUUCAUGGUUCGGUCUGAUUCAGUUUCCAUAAAUAUGAACUCAAAUCAACCAUGUUAGUUUUUUAUUUGGUUUGGUUUUCACAUCUUUUUCGGUUUUGUCGUUUGUUUUUCACAUGCAUUUCUUAGUGAUUCCUUUGUCCAGAUAGAUCUAAUUGACUAAUCAAAAUUUGGGGACUUGGUUUUGAUUGAACAAAUAUAGCAUUAAGAACUUUAACUUUCAUUUUUGUCUUGGUGGAUUUAGAUUGUUUGUUUUGGUAAUUGAAGUCUGCUUUGGCUGUUUAAUGGAUGGUGUUAACAGUUGAUAGUGGUAAAUGGAGAAGGGGAACUAAGAACCCGAAAAAAUAUAUGAACCAACUAAAUCUUGCCCUCAUACUUUAAUGCCUUAGUAAAUAUGUCAGUGAAGUGAAGUGAUCAUAGUCUUGAUACAAGUGAAUUCUACUUCUUUCUUCUUGAUGCUUCCAGAUUACGUAGAAUAUUGUAUCGAUGCCAUACUCUUGUUGUGUCUUCCAUGAAAUAGUAGCCAGUGGUACUCUUGCGAUCAUAUACUGUGGCUUGACUUGCUAUUCUGCUUUAAAGUUUUCUUGUAUGUAACUUGUAUAAACUUCUUGAGAUGAAUGCCAUCAACAUAUUGCUUCGCUCCAAUGCUAAGAUAUUAGAAGAUAUGUGAUAACUGUUAUUUUCAUGCCAUCACUUUCUUGAAUUCACUAAAUGUUUUUUAAUAACGGUGAUGUCAGGGCCAGGUAGUUUGCGCACACCUCGUUCAUUUCAUCGGAUACCUGAUACCUCUACAACAUAUGUACCAGCCCAUCGGGUAACUUUGUCCGCCAAGGCUUAACAAAUGAGAACAAAACACCUUGCCUCCUCUGAGGUAUGAACUUGAGAUCUCGUAGUUCUCCUCUCACUUUAUUGACCACUAUUAAUAGGCACAUCCUUGGGUGAAAUUCAUUUGAACAUAUAUAUUUAAACUUUGAUAGUUGUGGUUGUCGUCUACAUGGUAUGUGACACCACACAAUGUUGACUAAUGUUGAGCCAGGAGAUAUAUAUUCCCUUGGAUCAUUAUAGCACUCGUUGAACAAUUGAGUAGAAAUGGAUAGGUUAUAAGAAGUAGAAAACCCAUAUCAAUCUAUCUCUAUAGGAGACAACAUGAGCAAAGGAUGGGAACGGUUAAAUCCUUUGGAAAAGAAUUCACCCCCUCAUCAAUUAUAUAUUAUGAAAUGAAGGAAAUACCUCCAUUUCCAUCUUCCUUAUCAAAAAGUGUUCUUAUGUGUAUAAAUGGUAAAAGUUGAAAUCCAUGGUCUUGAAGAUGCUUUAAUUCCUAUAAGGCUUCUUUCAGUUUUAAAACUUAUUCUUUAUGCUCUUUGGUUAUGUAGCACACAUGUUGUUGAGUAUAAACAUCGGCUUCGUCAAGUUAACAAAAGCCAUAUUACUAGAUAUUGUGUGUUUCUUUAAAGGGAAGAAGAAAGAAUCAGUGAUAAGAAUAUAAGAGAGUUUUAAUUUUAGUCCUGUUAUUGGCAUAAAGGUUCUCAUGGAGAAAUCUCUGAUUAUGGUUACACAAGGUCGGAUUUUAAUGCAUCAAUCGAUACAAGAAAUCGGUUGGUAUAUUAUUCGACAAGAUGCUUCGGAUGAUUCAAGAAGAUAUAGUAGGUUGUGGAUGCCUGGGAAUAUUUCUCAUGUACUUGGAGGAGAUUUGAUAAGUGUUUGCACAAACUAUGUUGCUCGGACUCUUUAAAAAUGGCGGUGGGUGCAUGUUGGAUCCUCCAAAAGUAGUGCAUUUUCGUAGGAUCCAAUACGUGUGCGGCAUCAACUUUGGAGAGUCCGAGCAACAUAGUGCACAAAUGAUGAUUUCUAAUUAGUUAUUAGUUCAAGCAGCAGCUGAUGUAUGAUGUAACUUUAUAACUUCUUUCUCCAAUUUUCCUUUUUGCCUGAUUGUUCUUUCUUAAUAAUCAGGGCACUGAAAAGAUCGAAGGCAUGUGACUGAACUUGGAUUCUGCACAAGAAGUGAAUGUCAGCAGUGCAGUUUCUCAGUAUCCAAAAUACAAAUGUUCGUCAGGGUCCUGAUUUUCUUCAUGGUGAGUUGAGUUGGAUGUCCAUCAAGAAGUCUGUCUGUUAGUUUUCGGGGGAGAAAAGCUUGUUGGUUUGAAGUUGAAAGAUAGCCGAAUUACACAACUUUGGCAAGGCUCCAACGUUUAUAUAUAGUCGGAGUACUAAUUAUCUGGCUGUUUUGCUUUCUUGCUGUUUGAUUUGUUUCAGUAUGACAGGUUCUAGUAAGGUUGAUUUGUUUCAUCAACCUAGCCAAUCACAGAAGCUAGUAAGGACCCCGGAUUUUUCAGGUACCAGUAAUCUUGAAAGUGUUAAGGUUUUGAUUCUAUCAGCCUGCUUAAAACUCGAAAAGUUCCUGAAAAAAUAGAAGAAGAAAUGAAUCGCUUUUCAAAAGUGUACUUGGAUGGAGCUUCUUUGGGAGAGGUACGCGCAUCACUUGAGAACCUUCCAGGGGUUAGCUUGAAUAUUUGAUAAAUCUUAGUUACUGCAAGCAUCUUGAGAAUCUCCCAAGCAGUAUUUUUAGAUUGAAGUGUCUUAAGAACACUUGCUCUAUUCGGGUGCUCAAGACUCGAAAAAAUAUCAGAUGAUGUGGGACUUUUAACGGGCUUAGAGGAGCUCCGCUGUGAUGGCACAGCCAUCCGAACACUUGUCUUUUCGUGGAUGUAAUGCUUUGGGUUUACAAGUAAACAGCUCAUUCUUCUCCUUUUGGCUUCCAGGAAAAGGUCAAAACUCCACGGGUCUAAUUUAUCGAGUCUUUGUUCAUUGACAAUGCUUGAUACUAGUCACUGCAAUAUCUCAGACAGAGGCUGGAGGCACCCUAUGUAAUCUUGUGUACUUAUCAUCUUUGUGGUAACAGCUUUACCAAUAUUCCAGCUGCAAGCAUCAGUGAUCUAACUGAGCUACUUGCGCCGAGUUCACCUUGGACGUGGUUGAUACAAUUAUGGAAUAACAUGCUCAAGGUAACUGCAGAAUGACAGGCAAAUUACAUUCCUUUAAUGGAGAUAUAUCUGUGGAUUCAGACUAACUGAGCUGUGUUUUAAAGUCAGCAGCAGAUCCACAAAGCAGGAAUUUGAGUUAGACGAUAGGAUUCAGUCUGGUUCUCUUGCCAGGAUAGGCCUUGGGACGGAGCUAGCAUGGAAAGUACGGGCCAGAAUUCAGUUACUUCGGAGCAAAUCCUGUAUAUAUUUGUUCAUUGAAUAUCUAUAUCUUUAAAUUUUGGAUUCACCUCUAAUCGUAAGUGAAUGUAUGAUCCAGAAGAAAACAUGUCAAGUUCUUCAAUGUGCAGAGAGAUUGUUGUUUGUCAAAUUACACCUCUUAUUCAACUGGUUUAUCUUGUUCAAGAGUUCUUGGUAAGUAACUUUCUAUAAUCUAUUGUUGUUGUAUUCAAAUGUACCUUGUCAUAUAAAUUCAUCCUCAAGUUUUAUUUUUUUGCUUGUUUCCUAUUUUCUUUUCAUUGAAUGGACUAUUUUUAUUAG
RNAcentral lists this long non-coding RNA (4572 nucleotides) under Solanum tuberosum (potato). Its description in RNAcentral is "long non-coding RNA (STUB_LNC011119)". The record is from RNAcentral. Lineage: Eukaryota; Viridiplantae; Streptophyta; Magnoliopsida; Solanales; Solanaceae.